UACGUAGGUGGCAAGCGUUGUCCGGAUUUAUUGGGUUUAAAGGGUGCGUAGGUGGUCAAUUAAGUCAGUGCUGAAAUAUCCCGGCUUAACCGGGAGGGUGGCAUUGAUACUGAUUGACUUGAGUGGAGUUGAGGUAGGCGGAAUUGACGGUGUAGCGGUGAAAUGCUUAGAUAUCGUCAAGAACACCGAUAGCGAAGGCAGCUUACCAAGCUCUAACUGACACUGAUGCACGAAAGUGUGGGGAUCAAAC
Molecule: ribosomal RNA, 250 nt
Filed under: uncultured bacterium
Lineage: Bacteria
Description: partial 16S ribosomal RNA
Rfam family: Bacterial small subunit ribosomal RNA
Source: RNAcentral